CCGUUACAAAGCUCAUUUAAUUUUAUUUAGUUGUACUUUGGCAACAUCUUGAACUCUUUUUCAUGUUCUUUAAACCAUUCCUUUACAAUCUUUGCAGUGUGACAGGGUGCUGAGGGCCUACUGUAAGGCUUUUCCCUGUAAACGGCUUCUCCACAGAAACCUCACACAAUUCGAAAGCCUUUGCAUGGCUAGGCGAAACAUAGAGAAGGGGAUCUUUCUGCAGGAGAAAUUAAGCCUGUUCUGAAAUACAUGGCUAAAUGGGAAAGGGAGACAGGCGUCACUUCGAUCGGUCAAGACUGGACAAAAUUCUCAUACUCACCCACACAUACAUGCUGUAUCAGGAGACAAGCUUAAAGCUGCUGUCCCACAGGUACAGAACACCCGACGCACUACACCGCAUUAACGCAGACAUAUCAGGCAAAUGCUGGAGAUGUGGACACGCCACCAGUACAGCUCUACACAUAUGGUGGAACUGCCCUGACAUAGCCCCUUUCUGGAAGAUGGUAACCAGGAAGAUCUGGCAGAUCACAGAUUCCGACCUACCACUCCAGCCCCUUUCCAUGCUACUUUGCCAUACAGACGUGUAAUUAAAAACAUAUAAAAAGUCACUCACAAAACAUCUCCUGACAGCCGCAAAGUCUCUAAUACCCACACUGUGGAAGCAGAAGGGUGCGCCCACCAUCUGGCAAUGGGUAGACAGAAUAGGCGAGAUCUACAACAUGGAAUCCUUGACUGCAAACCUACAUGGGCGCCUAGACAAAUGUAGCCAGACUUGGGCACC
Pelobates cultripes (western spadefoot toad) is the source of this 781-nucleotide non-coding RNA. Lineage: Eukaryota; Metazoa; Chordata; Amphibia; Anura; Pelobatidae. The record is from the annotation of a GenBank genome assembly.